RNAcentral lists this ribosomal RNA (495 nucleotides) under uncultured bacterium. RNAcentral's name for it is "partial 16S ribosomal RNA". It matches the Rfam family "Bacterial small subunit ribosomal RNA", at positions 28 to 507 of the family's 1533-position model. The record is from RNAcentral.
GACGAACGCUGGCGGCGUGCCUAAUACAUGCAAGUAGAACGCUGAAGGAGGAGCUUGGUCUUCUUGAUGAGUUCCGCACGCGUGAGUGUCACGUAUGUAACCUGCCUGGUAGCGGGGGGUAACUCUUGGAAACGAUAGCUAAUAUCGCAUAUCAUAAGAUGUUGCAUAACAUUUACUUAAAAGAUGCACUUUCAUCUCUCUCAUAUAGACCUGCGUUGUAUUUGCUAGUUGGGGGGAUAACGGCUCACCAAGGCGAAGGUACAUAUCCGACCUGAGAGGGUGAUCGGCCACACUGGGACUGAGACACGGCCCAGACUCCUACGGGAGGCAGCAGUAGGGAAUCUUCGGCAAUGGACGGAAGUCUGACCGAGCAACGCCGCGUGAGUGAAGAAGGUUUUCGGAUCGCAAAGCUCUGUUGUUAGAGAAGAACGAGUGUGAGAGUGGAAAGUUCAUACUGUGACGGUAUCUAACCAGAAAGGGACGGCUAACUACGUG